UACGUAGGGUGCGAGCGUUGUCCGGAAUUAUUGGGCGUAAAGAGCUUGUAGGCGGUUUGUCGCGUCUGCUGUGAAAAUCCGGGGCUCAACCCCGGACUUGCAGUGGGUACGGGCAGACUAGAGUGUGGUAGGGGAGACUGGAAUUCCUGGUGUAGCGGUGAAAUGCGCAGAUAUCAGGAGGAACACCGAUGGCGAAGGCAGGUCUCUGGGCCACUACUGACGCUG
RNAcentral lists this ribosomal RNA (225 nucleotides) under uncultured bacterium. RNAcentral's name for it is "partial 16S ribosomal RNA". It matches the Rfam family "Bacterial small subunit ribosomal RNA", at positions 524 to 748 of the family's 1533-position model. The record is from RNAcentral.